Molecule: non-coding RNA, 7253 nt
Organism: Podarcis lilfordi (Lilford's wall lizard)
Lineage: Eukaryota; Metazoa; Chordata; Lepidosauria; Squamata; Lacertidae
Source: the annotation of a GenBank genome assembly
CUGUGCUUGGUUGGAGAAUGUUCAUGGUAAACGCAUUGGCUGUCUCUUUACUGAUCGAGGCGGGGAGUUCACUUCUCAGCAGUUUGAAGCUUUCCUGACUGAGAAGGGAAUCCAGCAUAGCCUCUCAAGUCCUGGAUCUCCAUGGGAGAUUUGUGAGCAAGCAAAGCAAACGUUGCUGCAAGGACUGAAAACAUUGUUGCAUGAUGCCAAUCUCCUGAGAAGUUUUGGGGGAGUCUUUGAACUCGUUUGUUUACACUUUUAAUCGCAGGUUGUCAUCACCUAUUGGUUGUACCUCCUAUGAGAAGAUGUUUGGUAAGAAACCCAACAUCAAGCACAUGAGAAUCUUUGGUUCUGACAUGUGGGUACACACCCCACAGAGCAACAAGCUUGGGAAGCGUGGGGCACAUGGUUUGUUCAUGGGGUACGAAAAAGGUGCAUACAGGGUAUGGAUGACCAACUCUAAGUCCAUUAAGUUCACAAGGAGUGUUGAGUACAAUCCUAAGUGGGGGGAAAAUGUGGGAAUUUUCCAGAGUUACCCAGAGGAGGAUGAAGGUGAUGUCAAAGAAGCAGCUAAAGCUGAGGAAGCUGCUGAGGAUGAUGAUGACGAUGAUGAUCAGAGUUCGGAUUCCAGUUCAGUGGGCGGCGCUGCUGCUGAUGUCAGUGACAGUGAUGACACAGCAGACUACAAGAGCGCAAAGGCCUCAGUCAGACCAUCUGAUGCGUCUGACAAUGAACUGGAAGAACCACUGUUCACCAUUGGUCACUUUUCUCCUAAGAAGGAGGAGAUGAGUCCAGAAGACUUGCGUCUAGUACGCAGAUCUGAAAGAGCCACAAAGGGCAGACCUCCAAAGAGAUUUGCUGAUGAGUUUGCUAAGACAGCAACUGCUGUUCUUAGUAGCUCAGAGAAGGUAUGGGAACCUUCAAGCUUCAAAGAGGUUCAGGAGUUAACCUCUAAAGAUGCUGAGCCUUGGCUUAAUGCCAUGAAGGCUGAAGUUGAUUCCUUGAAUAGGAACCAAACUUGGGAACUGGUACCGGUAGUCCCAGGGAUGAGACUGGUUGGCAGCAAAUGGGUCUUCAAGGCCAAGACAGACCAGAAUGGCAAGGUUGUCAGACACAAAGCCAGAUUGGUUGCCAGAGGUUUUUCACAGGUACCAGGACAGGAUUACCACGAGACCUACUCACCCACCGUCAAAUAUGAGAGCAUUCGGCUGAUGCUCAAGAUAGCUGCAGAGGAGAAACUGCAUGUUUCCCAUCAUGACAUUAAUACAGCUUUUUGUACGGGAUUUUAGAGCAGGAGCUGUUUAUGCUUCCACCUGAUGGGAUGCAGAUACAGAAGGGAAUGGUCUGUAAACUGCGGAAAUCCUUAUAUGGUCUCAAGCAGAGUGCCAGGUGUUGGAACACAAAGCUCACUGAGACAUUGCUUUCUCUAGGUUUUCACCAGGGCAAGGCUGAUCCAUGUGUGUUUGUCAAGGAGGAGGGGCAAAACAAACUGUAUUGUUUAUGUUUUGUUGAUGAUCUUCUGAUGUUUUGGAAGAAUCAGGCUUUCUACCAAAGCACCCUAGCUCAGCUGAAGGAGCACUUUGACAUGAAGGAUCUUGGUGAGGUAUCCAACUAUCUUUCUCUGCAGGUGGAGAGGGACCAAGCAGGUAAUUUUCUGGUACACCAAACACAGAAAAUUGCUGAUGUAUUAACCAGGUUGAAUUUGGUUGAUGCAAACCCAGCAGACACACCGAUGGUGACAGGUUACCAGGUAGACAGUACUGCUGAAGCGUUUUCUGACACAACGCUGUACAGAUGCAUUCUAGGCAAGUUGAAUUUCAUUGCUAGAUGCUCAAGACCUGACAUAGCUGUAAGCACUAACCUGCUUAGCAGACAUGCUAACAAUCCUACUGUUCAGGAUUGGAAAGCUCUGAAGCGCAUAGCCCGCUAUUUGAAAGGGACUUUGCACUACAGGCUGAGGUUCACCAGUCAGAAGACUGGAGGUCUUGAAAUCUUUGCAGAUGCAAGUUUUGGAAGUGACACCACGGAUGGUACAAGCACUUCUGGAGUAUGCUACAUGUACAACCACUGUCUGUUUGACUGGCUGUGCAAAAAGCAGACGACAGUGAGCCUAAGUUCCUGUGAAGCAGAACUCAAUGCUCUGUCAUUUUCACUCAUGGAUUGUGAAUGGUUGAUGCAACUGUUUAAGGACAUCAGAGUUUCUGUGAAAUGUCCUGUACAAGUGUAUCAAGACAAUAGAUCGUGUUUGGCUUUGCUGAACUCGGAGAGUUGCAAGCAAAGGACCAAGUACUUGCAGAUUAAGCUACAUCGUGCAAGAGAGUGUAUUCAGAAAGGACUCAUUCAGGUGUCCUACAUGCCAGGAAAUGAAAUUCCGGCUGAUCUGUUGUCUAAGGUUGUUAACAGAGAACAACUUAAGGUUUGCGUACAAAGGUUGCAAUUGGGUUGAACCACAGGUACUACAGGUUACACGGAAAGGGGGAGGAUGUUAGGAUAUUUCCGUUCCACCUUAAAAGGGAGCAGGCUGUGAGUCACAGAGUCUGCGUAUUUCCUGUUCACAGGAUGUUUAUGUUUUCUGUUGCUUUCGUUUUCUCUCUGUUGUCGCAGACACUAAAGCAGUCAGUCAUGUUUUUCUGUGUUCUGAUCAACGCUGAAUAAACUUGUAAAUAAUGCUCUCCUGACUGCAACUUUUGGCUGUGCAUUAUCUGCUGAUAGAGCGUGCAUGAGUCUGGAAUGUGUACAAGAUAUUUUCUAGAAACUCAUGUCGCUGAGUGCCUACGGGAGGUAGAUGGAUCGUCCGGCAGACGGCUUGGGGGCCAUGAUGGACUUUAUCUCCCUGGCAGUAUCCCAACAGAAAGUUCCUGCCUUGGGACCAUUUUUGAACUCUUCCCAGGAAAGGGGGUGAGAAACCAGGGGGUUUCAGAGUGUUCCAGUUAUGUUUCAUUCUUGAGCUUUGGAAUGGCUCCCGGACAGAAAGUAAGUUGCAAUCUGAUUUUAGCAAGGCCAAAGGCUCUGAGAAAACAAUGGACUCUGUUCCCUACCUUUGUUGCAGUCUUUUAGUUACAGCAAGAGGAAUAUGCUUAGCUAAUGCUUUUUGUCUUAGAGGAAAUGCAGUUUUAAAAAUGCUUGAGGCAAGGCUUUGAGGCCUGGCUUGGGGGGGGGGAAUUCACAAAUAGUUUUUAGGGUUUUUGGGGUAAUCCUAACUGACUGUCUUUCUUCAUUUUUUGUUUCAGCUGUAGGUAUAAAUUCAUGGCCAAAAGCCUUAUUGAUACACAAUUUUCCAUCCGAUGCCUGCUUACUCGGAAGUAAGUCCUACUCUGCUCCCAUGUGCGGAGCUAGCAGUUCAGGCAGUUCUGCUGGCAGGAGGCCAAAGGACCCAGAGUGGUUUGCAACCAGGGUGGGUUCCAAAUGCUGCCCUUUUUGAUACGUUUCCAUUUAUUCUUUUGCGUGGGGACUGGCCAGAUUGAAAACCCCCCACCCCAUUCAACAGAAAGACUAGCAAAAGAUUUCAAAGGCGGAAUUUCCAAAAGAUGGCACUUUGUCCUGAAUUUAAGACAAGUCAAUCGAAAAAUCAUGGGCUUUUUUGGCAUUUAUUUGGGGCCUUGUCUAAAAAAAAAAAGCACUACAAUUUUGGGCUUGUCCUGGUUUUUACUUUUUGAAAUAUGGCAACACUAAUUAUUCUGGGCUCUGCUUGAACUGAAACUCCCUUUUAGAGCUCAGCCAGUAGACACUGAAUUUCAGGGUCAUGGGUUUAAGCCCCACUUUGGGCAAAAUAUUCCUGCAUUGCAGGGGGCUGGACUAGAUGACCCUCGUGGUCCCUUCCAACUCUGCAAUUCUAGGAUUCUACCAUGUCUAGAGGAGAGAUCGCCCUCUUGUGGGCAGUGGAGGAAUGAUGUAAUGUUGGUUGGUGGGAACUGUUCUUGAGUGUUGCCUUAUCACACACAUGCAACAGCACAACAGUCCUGUGAAAGGAAGGGGGGAGCAUUUCUGCAGGCUGAUGUCCAUCCAUCCAGCUGCCCAGGCCCCAGCACCUCCCCCUAACAGAGAAGGGUCCCAGUCUGGAAAUCCCCCCUUCCUGCUGGAGAUGAGGCAGUGAGGGACUCCAGACAGACAGAGGCGUCCUUGCUCUGGAAUUCCCUUGCCAGCAGGGAGACUUCAAAAGCCCCCCCCAUGCCUCCCCCUUCCCUCAUUUAGUAUGGAGACUUUUCAUCUUGUGGUUUGGUCAUUUCAAAUCCAGUUUUUCUCUCUCUCCCUGCAAUUUUAAUACUGUUGUUGGUUUCCUUUUUUAAAUUAUUCUGUUCACGACUGAUAUUUCACAUGGCGUUUGUGAAUGCAAAGCAACUGUGGCUCUUAUGAUCCCUGCAGGGUAUUAAGUGUUGUUCUAACCUCCCUAUUGCAGGUGGAAAGAGGAAUGUGGGGCUUGCUUAUAUCAUCUUAGGGUGGCAAGAUUAAGAUUUGGGACUGGGACUUUGAGUAUCAAGACUUAAACUAUUACUAAUGCUUGAUUUUGCAUGACAUGAAAGACCGUAACAAUCGCGUUCCGUAGAUGUGGUCAACAAUGCGUUAAGAACAGGUCAGGGUACUGAACUCAAUGUGAACUGAUCAGAACAUUCCCAGACCCAUGCGCAGAGGCAAAAACAUCCCAGCAUCCAUCCCAGCAUCUCCCCCUUUCUUUUCUUAUCGGCGAGGUGUUACUUUGGUUGAAUAAGAGAAAAAUACUUCGGGAUACGUGGUAUGCCAGCGCAUGCCCGAAAUACGUUCGCCAGGGUGGACGGGAGAAAAUUACUUCGGGAUACGUGGUAUGCCAGCGCAUGCCCGAAAUAAGUCUGCCCACAUCUCCCCUAUCAUUUACAGUUGAUGUUGCCAUUUCGCAUAGUAGGCGGCAAUGAUUUUAUUAGGUGGCAGAGGAGGAGAAAAAAAACUGAGACCAAAGACGCAUGAGACCAGGAAUGCAUUGGAUGAAGCAGCAUAGCAAAAUUAGUAUACAUAUUAUGACAAUAGCAUAUUGGAAAAGAUUACGAAGCCAAUUCAGGUUAGGCAACCAGCCAGUGAGCCACUGGGUGAACGAAUCCCAGAGGCCAGAGAAUCCAACGUCCAGUUUAAUGUGAUGUGUGAGAUUUUGCAAAUGAGAGAUUUGCUUUUGAAUGGCUUUAGAAUUAUCAGUAAUAUUGAAGCAACACAUGUCAUUCACUUGUUCACAGCCAUAAUGAUGAAGCAUGAGCAAAUAGUGAUAGCAGCACGAUUUUGUAAAAGUCCAUUAUGAAGUUCACUCUGUUCUUUAUUCAGAAGGUGAAGAGCUUGUGAAGUAAAAUUCAGGGCUUUUGCUGCAGAACAAGCUAAGGAAUUAAUGUUCAUACUAUUCCGUACAGCCAAUCCAGGGACUCCUAAGAGAGAAACAGCUAAAGAGAUAUAUUCAGACCUACUGGGAAGAGAGACAGAAUCAUCACAAUCAUUAGUCAAUUCCACAGAGCGGCGCUAUCUAGAGCGGGUCAAAUGAUGCUUUUUGGGUAAAAUGAUGGACAAACGGCUUAAGCAGCAGGGUGUGCCAUGGCUGAUGUAUUGUUGGCACAUGGUAGGGGAAUUCAGCAUUCCUUGCGGUAGGACUUUCCAUUGAUACCGUUCCGUGGGCUGGCUCUUAUUUAACACAGGAACAGGGAAAGCAAAGAAUUUACGAUCCUUCUCCUGUAGGGGGAUGGAGAAGAAACCAUCUUGCAAAUCUAUGAUAGCCAAUUGAUAAGAAUGGGGGAUCACAUUCGGAUUAGGCAGACCACACUGCAAAGGCCCCGUGGGUUCAAGGAUGUCAUUAAUUUUCCUUAAAUCCUGGAGAAAUCUCCAUUUCCCACUUUUCUUUUUUAUGACGAAGAUGGGAGUGUUAUAGGGGCUAACUGAGGACUCGAUAUGGUCCGCCGAUAAUUGUUGAUUCAUCAAUUCUUUUAAAGCAAGUAGCUUUUCCCCCGUUAUGGGCCAUUGUUCUACCCAUACCGGGAUGGUUGACUUCCAGUUGAGGGGGAGUGCAAGCUUACUCAUUAAAUUGAAUGGUAGCUUGUAAUUGUUGUAGUAAAUCUCUGCCCCACAGAUUAAGGUGGAUUUUUAGCACGCAAGGCUGGAUGUAUGCAAUGGUUUCAGAGCUAUCAGGCAGAGAAACAGGCAACCACUUUACGCUUUUGGUUGAGGUUUGAGGUCCACCCACGCCCCAAACCGCAGAGGCAGACUCAAGGCCAGGGGCCCAGCAACUACUGGAUAUGACAGAAAUGUCUGCGCCCGUGUCAAUCAAGCCUUCCAGAACCUAGCCAUUGAUUUUAUACUUACGAAGAAGUUUCUGUUGACCAAUCCUCUGGAUUACAGCUAACAGCUGUGGAGAAAGGGGAAGGGGAGAGAGCUGGUGCAAAUUACUAUCCACAAUAGAAGCAGUAGGAUGAGAAGGGAGCACCACCAAAUGCGCCCAAGAAUCACCCUUUUAACUGCAUGGGCAUAUGGCUCCAGAGUUGAACCAUGAUUGUGCCCACAUAGUCAGGAUCUAGGACUCCCGGAAUAACCAGGAUUCCUUCUUUGGCCGCAGACAAUUUGGGCAAAAUUAAGCCUGCGACCUUAGGUGGUAGUGGGCCCGCCAACUGAGUGGGCAUGAGCACAAUUUCACCAGGUAAAACAGCGUCUUUGGUUUCCUGAUUAAUUAAGUCAAUAGUGAAAUCAGAGGGUGUAUCAUUAGAAAAGGUCUUAAUAGUGGAGACUAACGGCGGAGGGCUCUCUAUUUGUCCUGGCCCGAGAGCUAGGCCCCCAUGGAGUUUCCCGAACUCCUGCACUGAUUUGCCCAAUGAUAACUUUUACCGCAUUUCGGGCAUUUCUUGGAAGGCUUAGCCUUAUUGGCUUCACCAUUCCUGUUUGCUCCCCCGCCAGGGGCUCUGCAUUGUUUAGCAAAAUGACCUGGGCGUUUGCAAUUGAAGCAGUUGCCCGUGGGCUUAUUGCCAGCCUGGAUGGCACCGGCAAGCAAAGACAUCGCAUGACUCUGGCUGCCAACAUCGGCACAGGUCUGAAUCAUAUCGGCCAGGCCAUAUUUAGGGCGAUGUAUAAUUGAAUGCAAAGCCUUCUUGCAAUCAGUGUUUGCAUUUUCAAAAGCCAAUUUUUUCAUCAAUUCAUUUUGAGCUGUAGUGUCAUCAAUCUGCCUAGUGAUUGAUUCUUUCAAUCUAUCUAUAAAUUGAUGGUAAGGCUCCGAAUGUUGUUGCUUAAUAUUAACAAAGGAGCUCAGCGGUUGCCCUGAG